Long non-coding RNA from Hemiscyllium ocellatum (epaulette shark), 2214 nucleotides. RefSeq lists it as uncharacterized. NCBI's taxonomy places the organism in Eukaryota, Metazoa, Chordata, Chondrichthyes, Orectolobiformes, Hemiscylliidae. The record is from RefSeq and is a predicted model, not a curated record. The transcript is spliced from 2 exons.
GUAAGUUCCCCAGGUGUGCGUGGGAAGAUCUCUGCAAUUUCAAAAGUCCUGGGGACGGUGAGUUAUUUAUUUUUGGUCUCUUAUGUUUAUAAAAGUGAAUCCUCUAGGUGUGCGUUAAAACAGCCUUGCAAUUUGAAAGUCCUAGAGUGGAUGAAUUCUCCAGGUGUGCGUGGGAAGAUCUCUGCAAUUUCAAAAGUCCUGGGGACAGUGAGUUAUUUAUUUUUGGUCUCUUAUGUUUAUAAAAGUGAAUCCUCCAGGUGUGCGUUAAAACAUCCCUGCAAUUUAAAAUUCCUGGAGACGGUGAGGCAUAUGUUUGUAGCCUCCUAUUGUUAGACAAGGGAACCGUCUAGGUGUGCUUUGGAACAUCACUGCAGAUUGAAAGUCCUAGAAUCGGACGCUUGUGACACAUACGAUCGACCAUGCCCUGACGGGAAAGGAUAACCCCCCACCCGCAUACCAGGCAGCGGGGCUGGAGGAGCCUGUGAUGGGGGCACCCGAUGGAAGAUUACGGGAUCGGUAUCAGAGGGAAUGGAGGAGAUAUGCCUGCGAGGGAAGCACGGGACAACUUAUGAUUUUACUUUAUAACUGUAUCUCUCAUUUCUAAUCCUUCCCAUAUUAGGGCCUCAGAAUGUGAGGGCUGAGGUGCAGAGACCCCCUAGUUGUGUAUUUUUUCUCUCUCUUUCCCGUUCAAAUUGACAACAGGUAAAUUUGUGCUUUUAUGCUGCAGUUAGAGAUUGUGAAGUGCUAUAUGCCUCGAGACUCAAGAGACUAUUGUUCACUCAAGAGAUUUCCUAGCCAUCAUUUGGUAUUCCUAAAUGGCUUCGAUUGGUCUCGACGGCCACUGUUCACAAUAAUAAGCCAGUUACCACUGCCCGUGUCCGUACUUGACAGCUGUAAAAUGGAUGUGGGUUUUUAUUGGUCAAGUGAAGGUGACUGGUUCGCCAAUGACGGGUAAGAUUCCUCGAGUGAGGGACAACCUAAGACAGGCACAGUCGUGCAUUGACCUUCAGAAUAAUGGCCUGUGGUCAUGUGGUUUUAGCAGAUGCCUGGCUUUUGUAUCCGUGUCGGGAAUCUGGUCAAGUUUCUGGCUUGCAAAGCAGCUUGAUAUAAGGAAAAUCGUGGACCCAGCAGUUUGACAUUGUAUUCACUGUAUUUUUGACGAAGGAAAAUGCCAGUUUUGUGUCAUUUUCCAGAACCGACUUAACAACAACCCUUGAGGAAGGAAGGAGAGCUCAUUGAAUCCUAUUGCAAAAAGAUUUGACACUAUGUCAGUAGUUUGAAAUUUUAUUUUAAGGUGUCAUGGUAUAAUACGACCGACUUUACUGGGAGGUUGUACAAUUGGGUGUUCUUUGAACAGCAGAGCUUCAUUCUGCAGGUGUCCUAACUCAUCCACUUUGUGUUUUCCUCUGGUUCUCUUCGCUUUUGUUAUCAUACUCAUUAAUCGUUUUGUUGGUUUUGAGGUGGCUUUUGUAUAUGUUUACAACUUUUAAGUGCUUACAUCUGUUAUGUAUUAUUUCACUGCUUCUUGUGCCUUAACGAUUGUAUGCGAACUGGAGAGGCGCAUAGAGUAGGGAUUUUGCGUCGCGGAAUGCUUUCUGUAGUUGUAUGCUGCUUAGGGACUCCUCUCCACUAUAACUAUGUCUCCCUAGAGUCAGACAAGCCCGGUUGAGCCAAUUGGUCGGCCUUGCAGAGGAGCGAUGGAGUGGCGCUCACCGACCAUCCGGGUCCUGACUGCUGCGCGCGAAUUGCUGUAUUUUGUGUGGCCUCUUUCGAGGCCAAGGGAGGGAGUGUUAGGAAGCAUUAUUAAGGGUAGGUUGUGUUCAGAAACUUUAUUGUUAGGUAGUGCUCACGUAAGGUAGUACUAGCAAGUCUGGAAACUGUUAGCUUCACUAGACAACAGUAAGCCAUUAUGUUACACUAAGAACAGACUGAAACACUGAUGGCAUAAUGGGGCCACAGGGAGGGUGAACAGAUAACAGGACAUUGAAACCGUGUUAGAUUGCACGUAGCUCAUACUGAGGUAACUGAAUCUUAUCUCUUCUGGAACCAAUACUAUUAGAGAAUACCGCUUCUUACCAAAUAAGGAUGUAGCACUGGGAUGUGAGGGGCUAAAAGCUAGACAAAGAGAACAAUAGAUCAGAACGCCUUCUCCAGCUGGACAAAUGUCUAGCUGUAACCGAUUCUCUCUCGAAUAAAGCAGUCUGUUUCUUAGAA